RNAcentral lists this ribosomal RNA (265 nucleotides) under uncultured bacterium. RNAcentral describes it as "partial 16S ribosomal RNA". It matches the Rfam family "Bacterial small subunit ribosomal RNA", at positions 793 to 1055 of the family's 1533-position model. The record is from RNAcentral.
GUCCACGCCGUAAACAAUGGAUACUAGUUGUUUGAGGUAUCGACCCCUCAAGUAACGAAGCUAACGCGUUAAGUAUCCCGCCUGUGGAGUACGAUCGCAAGAUUAAAACAUAAAGGAAUUGACGGGGACCCGCACAAGCGGUGGAGCAUGUUCUUUAAUUCGAUGAUAAACGAUGAACCUUACCAGGGCUUGACAUCCAAGGAAGCACUACGAAAGUAGAGUGUGCCUUUUAGGAGCCUUGUGACAGGUGAUGCAUGGCCGUCGU